Meleagris gallopavo (turkey) is the source of this 992-nucleotide non-coding RNA. The record is from RefSeq and is a predicted model, not a curated record. NCBI's taxonomy places the organism in Eukaryota, Metazoa, Chordata, Aves, Galliformes, Phasianidae.
CUGAGGUAGUAUCAUUCCAGAAGGUUCACACCAACUGAAAACUCCCUGAGCACUGCUGGGACAGGAGAUGUCCACCAGCAGGACUGGGCUCCAGUGGACACCAUCCUGGCUGCUGGAAACAGCAAACUCCUUCACAAACAUGUUCAGGCGGGCCUGGGAGGGUGACCAGCUGGAGAAGAUGUUGGAGCUGUAGGAUGACGCGGAGAUGCGCUGGUCAGGGAUCCCUUUGCUCUCCAUUCCCAGGGCCAUGGAGCAGCCUGGAAGAGAGAAGCAACUUGUCAGAAGGGAUAACAGACACCCAUCAUGGAAAUGUAUCCUAGCUGCACGCUCCUCCCUCUGCCCUCCACACACUUUCCUGCUCACAGCAUCUCCUGUGCUUUGAAGCACCAUCGCUGUGCUGCUCAGUGCCUUUGCAGCAUGGCUCUGGCUGGGCAGUGACAAAUGACACCUGCCACUCCUCCCACCUUCUCUUCUCCCUGGAGAUUUUAUCUAGGGGGAAUCUGGAGUAUUUGUCUGUCUGCCAGGACAAACUCGUUUCAAGGGGAAGGAUGACUGGAGACACACUGGACACGCAUAAACUGGAGUGCAAGUGCAUCUGCCUGCUGUGGGUGCCAUCACAGAGCUGCUACCUGUAAGGACCUGCCUUGCUCUGUGCAAAGCUAAAGAAAGGGUCUCCGAGCAAAAAGCCAAUAGCACAUCUCUCUGCUUGUUCCCUGUUCCCCAGGCUGAGGCACCUUCUCAGCUAUCAGCUCAGUUGCUGCCCAAAGUUUCCUGUGCUUCAGGACAAAGUGGUGAGGGCCCUACUGCCCUGCUUUUGCUACUGCUAUCUCUAAAGACACAAAGCCAUUUUUCCAGCUUGGCUCCCCCAGCACCAUCUCCUGCCAACUCCUUCCUAUCUGAGGGGACUUGAAACAUGGGGAAUCCCAAAUCUGAGCACUCAGCAGAGCCAUCUGGAUCAGCCCCCAGCACCGGUGCUGGGUGUCCCAGGUGGG